RNAcentral lists this ribosomal RNA (1735 nucleotides) under Schizochytrium sp. Its description in RNAcentral is "partial small subunit ribosomal RNA". It matches the Rfam family "Eukaryotic small subunit ribosomal RNA". The record is from RNAcentral. Lineage: Eukaryota; Bigyra; Thraustochytrida; Thraustochytriidae.
GUGGCAUGCUGUCUCAGAUUAGCCAUGCAUGUGUAAGUAUAAGCGAUUGUACUGUGAGACUGCGAACGGCUCAUUAUAUCAGUAAUAAUUUCUUCGGUAGUUUCUUUUAUAUGGAUACCUGCAGUAAUUCUGGAAAUAAUACAUGCUGUAAGAGCCCUGUAUGGGGCUGCACUUAUUAGAUUGAAGCCGAUUUUAUUGGUGAAUCAUGAUAAUUGAGCAGAUUGACUUUUUUGGUCAAUGAAUCGUUUGAGUUUCUGCCCCAUCAGUUGUCGACGGUAGUGUAUUGGACUACGGUGACUAUAACGGGGGACGGAAAGUUAGGGCUCGACUCCGGAAAGGGAGCCUGAAAAACGGCUACCAUAUCCAAGGAUAGCACCAGGCGCGUAAAUUACCCACUGGGGACUCCACGAGGUAGUGACAAAAAAUAUCGAUGCGAACCGGGUAUGCGUUUUGCUAUCGGAAUGAAAGCAAUGUAAAACCCUCAUCGAGGAUCAACUGGAGGGCAAGUCUGGUGCCAGCAGCCGCGGUAAUUCCAGCUCCAAAAGCAUAUGCUAAAGUUGUUGCAGUUAAAAGUCAGCUGCGUAGCCGAAUACCUGGACAUGCAUGGCGUACCGGUGCUUUCAAUGAAUCGCGAUUGACGGCCUCGAUGGAAUGCCUUGGCCAUGCAUUUUCUUUCCUUUACGGGGAAGAAAUCUUUCACUGUAAUCAAAGCAAAGUGUUCCAAGCAGGUCGAAUGACCGGUAUGUUUAUUAUGAGAUGAAAAAAAUAGGACUUGGGUGCUAUUAUGUUGGUUUGCACAGCCUGAGUAAUGGUAAAUAGGAACAGUUGGGGGUAUUCGUAUUUAGGAGCUUAGAGGUGAAAAUUCUUGGAAUUUCCGAAAAAACAAACUAAGAGCGAAGGCAUUUACCAAGCCAUGUUUUCAAUUAUACAAGAAACGAAAGUCUGGGAACCGAAGAUGAAGUUAGAUACCAUCGUAGUCUAGACCGUAAACCGAUGCCGACUGGCGAUUGUUGGGGGCUUUUUAAUGGCCCUCACGCACGCAGGCAUGAGAAAACAAAGCUUCUUUGGGUUCCGGGGGAGUAUUGUGCAAAGGUGAAAUUAAGGGAAUGGCGGAAAGGCCCCCCCCGGGUGGGGCCUGCGGGUUAAAUUGAGUCUACACCGGAAAAAUUUCCCCGGCCCGAAACAGGGUGGGAUUGCCGAAUUGGAGGUUUUUCCAGGUUUUUUGGGGGGGGGGGCCAGGCCCUUUUUUAUUUGGGGGGGGAAUUUUUUGGGUAAAUUCCUUUAAGAAAGGGACCUUGGCCUUUUAAAAAAGGGGGGGGUUGGGAAAAUAAUUCGUUUUUAAUUUUUUGAGGGGCACUUUCCGGUUUACGGGCCGGAAAUUGGGGGCAAAAACCGGUUUUGGAUGCCCUUGAAUUUUUUGGGCCCCCCCCCGCUUCCCAGGAGGGGUUCUUCGGGUUUUAAUUUUAAUUUUUGGAAUUGAGUGCUUGGUCGGAAGGCCUGGCUAAUCCUUGGAACGCUCAUCGUGCUGGGGCUAGAUUUUUGCAAUUAUUAAUCUCCAACGAGGAAUUCCUAGUAAACGCAAGUCAUCAGCUUGCAUUGAAUACGUCCCUGCCCUUUGUACACACCGCCCGUCGCACCUACCGAUUGAACGGUCCGAUGAAACCAUGGGAUGUUUCUGUUUGGAUUAAUUUUUGGACAGAGGCAGAACUCGGGUGAAUCAUAUGUAGAGAACAUA